CCUACGGGUGGCUGCAGUAAGGAAUAUUGGUCAAUGGAGGAAACUCUGAACCAGCCAUCUCGCGUGAAGGAUGAAGGGGCUCUGCCUUGUAAACUUCUUUUGUCUGGGGCGAAAAAGCUCGAUUUAUCGAGAACUGACGGUACCAGAAGAAUAAGCACCGGCUACCUCCGUGCCAGCAGCCGCGGUAAUACGGAGGGUGCAGGCGUUAUCCGGAAUCACUGGGUCGUAGGCGUGCUAAGGCGGCAUAGUAGAAAGGCUGUGGCUUAACCAUGGAAUUGCCAUUGAUACUGCAGAGCUUGAAUGAGGUUGAGGUUGGCGGAAUGUGACAUGUAGCGGUGAAAUGCUUAGAUAUGUCAUGGAACACCGAUUGCGAAGGCAGCUGACUGGACCUAUAUUGACGCUGAGGCACGAAAGCGUGGGGAGCGAACAGGAUUAGAUACCCUUGUAGUC
This 450-nucleotide ribosomal RNA is filed under the name uncultured bacterium. Its description in RNAcentral is "partial 16S ribosomal RNA". It matches the Rfam family "Bacterial small subunit ribosomal RNA", at positions 338 to 795 of the family's 1533-position model. The record is from RNAcentral.